ACCAAUCUUGAUCCUCUAUGAUCUGAGAUUGCAAAUGCCUUAACAGACCAGGGGCUCAGGAACAGCGGCAGCAGAAGGUCAUUCCUUUCACAACCUGCAGGUGAGCUCCCAAAGGCACCAGGUGGGCCACUGCGAGUAGCAGAGUGCUGGACUAGAUGGACUCUGGUCUGAUCCAGCAGGCUAGUU
Long non-coding RNA from Sphaerodactylus townsendi, 186 nucleotides. RefSeq lists it as uncharacterized. Lineage: Eukaryota; Metazoa; Chordata; Lepidosauria; Squamata; Sphaerodactylidae. The record is from RefSeq and is a predicted model, not a curated record. The transcript is spliced from 2 exons.